UUUAAAUCUGAGGAGACCAGUUCAUUGUUUCCUUCAUGAGGCCAUUAACUUCUGACUGCUACAGCAUUAAAAGGCAAAUUCACAUGCAAGAAAAAUCACUGCAAGCUGCAUACUGUAUCCAUUUCGAGUAGAGAGCUGUAUGUCUGAAAAGAAGGGAUCGUUUCAGGUGAACUGAUUUGGGAGCAAUGCGCUCAGGUCUUUGUGCUGGACAAGCCAUGCUUCCGUGAUUUCUUAUGAAACCUCGUUAAGCACAGAGGUUUUUCAUUGGGGAAGUUCAGUGUCAUUUUCAUUCUGGCUAAACCACCUGCUGCAUUGUGGGAAGUCCCACACGGUGACCACAGUGCAUCGUGGACAAGGCUGUGUCUCCCUAUAGGGGAGAAUUGAGAGCAGAAGGCACCCUUAUUUCAGCUCCCAAGAGACACUUCAGCAGCCCAGACAGAUGCAGUUCAGUGUCAACCUGAUCUGAAA
This 468-nucleotide long non-coding RNA is filed under the name Crocodylus porosus (Australian saltwater crocodile). RNAcentral describes it as "lncRNA (ENSCPRG00005005715.1)". Lineage: Eukaryota; Metazoa; Chordata; Crocodylia; Crocodylidae. The record is from RNAcentral.